Molecule: ribosomal RNA, 466 nt
Filed under: uncultured bacterium
Lineage: Bacteria
Description: partial 16S ribosomal RNA
Rfam family: Bacterial small subunit ribosomal RNA
Source: RNAcentral
GAUGAACGCUGGCGGCGUGCUUAACACAUGCAAGUCGAACGGAAAGGCUCCUGCUUGCAGGGGUACUCGAGUGGCGAACGGGUGAGUAACACGUGGGUGAUCUGCCCUGCACUUCGGGAUAAGCCUGGGAAACUGGGUCUAAUACCGGAUAGGACGAUGGUUUGGAUGCCAUUGUGGAAAGUUUUUUCGGUGUGGGAUGAGCUCGCGGCCUAUCAGCUUGUUGGUGGGGUAAUGGCCUACCAAGGCGUCGACGGGUAGCCGGCCUGAGAGGGUGUACGGCCACAUUGGGACUGAGAUACGGCCCAGACUCCUACGGGAGGCAGCAGUGGGGAAUAUUGCACAAUGGGCGCAAGCCUAAUGCAGCGACGCCGCGUGGGGGAUGACGGCCUUCGGGUUGUAAACUCCUUUCGCUAGGGACGAAGCGCAAGUGACGGUACCUGGAGAAGAAGCACCGGCUAACUACGUG